Molecule: ribosomal RNA, 433 nt
Filed under: uncultured bacterium
Lineage: Bacteria
Description: partial 16S ribosomal RNA
Rfam family: Bacterial small subunit ribosomal RNA
Source: RNAcentral
AACGAACGCUGGCGGCAGGCCUAACACAUGCAAGUCGAGCGAGGACUUCGGUUCUAGCGGCGGACGGGUGAGUAACGCGUGGGAAUGUGCCCUUCUCUACGGAAUAGCUCUGGGAAACUGGGAGUAAUACCGUAUACGCCCUAUUGGGGAAAGAUUUAUCGGAGAAGGAUCAGCCCGCGUUGGAUUAGGUAGUUGGUGGGGUAAUGGCCUACCAAGCCGACGAUCCAUAGCUGGUUGGAGAGGAUGAUCAGCCACACUGGGACUGAGACACGGCCCAGACUCCUACGGGAGGGAGCAGUGGGGAAUCUUAGACAAUGGGGGCAACCCUGAUCUAGCCAUGCCGCGUGAGUGAUGAAGGCCUUAGGGUUGUAAAGCUCUUUCAGCUGGGAAGAUAAUGACGGUGCCAGCAGAAGAAGCCCCGGCUAACUCCGUG